This 1436-nucleotide long non-coding RNA is filed under the name Anas platyrhynchos platyrhynchos (common mallard). RNAcentral's name for it is "lncRNA (ENSAPLG00000021872.1)". Lineage: Eukaryota; Metazoa; Chordata; Aves; Anseriformes; Anatidae. The record is from RNAcentral.
GAUGCACGAAAACUCCAUGGGCAAGAAGAAAGAUGGAUCCGCUUUUUCUCUCCCGAUGAUACAAGACGCUCAGUUUCCUCCUUCCAAGCGCAGGCAGCUAGAAAGUGCCAGCAGGCAGCAGCAGAUUUGUUAACUCCGAGGCAGCGAGGACAUUUUGUAGGAAGCAGACUCAGAACAGAGCUGCUGCCAGGAGCUCGUCUUCCGCUGCACAACCACGUGCAACUCCUUCAUCUCCAGCACACCACAGCCCAACCUUCCUGUGCAAACCCGGUGAGAUAUCAGGCUCUCGGUCACCGUGAGGUCUUCUGUCACGAUACAAGCAGGGGAGACUCCAGAACCUCCGGAAGCCCUUCCAGGAUUCUGCCAUCCUACCAUUACAGAAGUUUUUUGGUGUCUCAUGGGGUUCUACCUUCCUGUGACGUCCAGGGAAGUGACCUUCCUCCUUCCAGCCCACUGCAGGUUACACCAGGACUUUCGGGUGGCACAGGCCCAGCUCUCCGUGCUUGUGGCCCCGUUCCAAAACUGCUGAUUAGCACAAGGGAAUUCCACAGCUAUUACAGUCCGUGUCAGCUGCCUCUACGCCUGCCCGCGCUGGCAGGGCAUUACCCUGUCUUCACGGAACAGCAAGGCCCCACCAAGACCCCUCCACGGCUCUGGAGCAAAAGCUACACUCAUUUCAGCAACCGGUGUAAAUCAUCAUUGGGCCCAGAUCCACAUUUUGUACCUAUGAAAGACCAACGAUGGAAAUCCAGAGCACCCCAAACGCGGAGUAACCCAGUCUAUGGGCUAAGCUGACAUUGGUGCAAAAAACAGGUGUUUUUUCCCCAAAAAAAUACACUGUGAGAGCGUGCACGUGGCUGCAGAGCUCCCAGAGAAACGCAGGGGCACUGCAGAGGCAACAAGUGGAGUGUGACUGCAGAGUGGACAUUCGAUCCCGAGCUGACCUGACACGCAUGCCGAUUGCCUCGGCUGGCUCUGCAGACGGGGGCACGUCUCGGAGAGGUUUUCGCCCUGUGCUUUCCGUAGUCUUGCAUCUUCAGAUGGUUGUAGCGCGGUCAUAACUUCCUGCCUUUACAUUUACAAUUGCUUUAUCGCAUCUGUUAAUAGGAAAAAUUGGUGGCUGUGCUUCAUUCCGCCUAUGGGGUGAAGUUAUUUCUGUAUUUGGCUAUCGGUUUAUACAAUUUGGGAGCUGGUAGGCAUGUGAGAUACGUCCCAUUUCAGAGGGAUUGGUAUCGCAUGCUCCAAGGGAAGCUGUAAAAUUCCAGCAGUGGCUAUUAGCGUAAUGAGAAAAAUAUUAUCAUUUUUAGUACAGUGACAUACCCAUGGAAGAGGUUUCUAUGAGGCACAGAUGGUAGGCUGACGUCCUGAAAUUAAAAAAAAAAAAAUGUAUAUGCAACAAAAAUAAAACCAUGAUUGCUGUAAAAUAAAAGCCUACU